GAUGAAGAACGUAGCGAAAUGCGAUACGUAAUGUGAAUUGCAAAUUCAGUGAAUCAUCGAGUCUUUGAACGCACAUUGCGCCCCCUGGUAUUCCGGGGGGCAUGCCUGUCCGAGCGUCAUUGCUGCCCUCAAGCACGGCUUGUGUGUUGGGCCCCGUCCUCCGAUCCCGGGGGACGGGCCCGAAAGGCAGCGGCGGCACCGCGUCCGGUCCUCGAGCGUACGGGGCUUUGUCACCCGCUCUGUAGGCCCGGCCGGCGCUUGCCGAUCAACCCAAAUUUUUUAUCCAGGUUGACCUCGGAUCAGGUAGGGAUACCCGCUGAACUUAAGCAUAUCAUAAGCGGAGGA
RNAcentral lists this unclassified non-coding RNA (345 nucleotides) under soil metagenome. RNAcentral's name for it is "partial contains 5.8S ribosomal RNA, internal transcribed spacer 2, and large subunit ribosomal RNA". The stretch from base 1 to 119 matches the Rfam family "5.8S ribosomal RNA", at positions 35 to 154 of the family's 154-position model. The record is from RNAcentral.